Chelonia mydas (Green sea turtle) is the source of this 1243-nucleotide long non-coding RNA. RefSeq lists it as uncharacterized. The transcript is spliced from 2 exons. The record is from RefSeq and is a predicted model, not a curated record. Lineage: Eukaryota; Metazoa; Chordata; Testudines; Cheloniidae.
GAUGGUUCAAGAUGAACAAAAACUGCAGAGUUUCUGUUGAAUGAUGCGGAUGGAAGGGCUGGGUUUGACUACCUAUCUAAUGUCAUGGACUUUCAGGCCUGCAGAUAUUGAAGUAUCUGCAGAGGCCACAGCUACUGUGCUUUGUGGCAGCCACUCACUUCAGACUCUCCAGUCGUGUCUGGACCAAGCUUCCAAUGCCCCACAGAGGAUUUGACAUGCCCCACAAAGGAUAGGAUAUCUGACCAAGACAGAUGGCAAAAUGGAAACCCCUCCGUAUGACCUCUACAUGUUUGAGGCGCUUUGCUUUUGAAGGACCGGUCAGUAUUAUCCAGCCACUCCCCUUCGGUAGUGUUUCCUGGGGAGGAUUUGGUCACGGGUAUUUGUGCUGGGGUAACAGAGACAUUAGACUUCUGUAUCAAUACUCAGCCCUUCACACAUGCUGUGAGAUUAGUAGACAUUCCCUCUGGAUCUUGGGGCAUCUUUGGGUUUGGAAGUCAGUAUUCCCCACUCACUAAGGGGCUAAGUGAGAAAGCAAAUCUCUUCUCCAACAGGGGUUAAAGCAGUGGCUUUCUGCCUAACUUUUGCCCUCCUGUGGCAUUUUUCUCAUAAGGUAUGAUUUAACUACCUUUGUAUGGCAAGAGAGAUGAUUAGCAACGUUUUCUUAACAAAUUUCGCAUUACUAAUCAUACCAGGAGACAGAAAAAUGGAUGUCUGGUAUCCUUUUGACAACAUUUGUGGUGUUAAUCACUAACCCAUAACAGGAGCACUCCAUGGAAGUUGUUAUCUUGCCCCCAUUUGAGAAACGCAGAUAUAGAUCUAGCUUAUUGUUUAAAGUGGGGGUCCAAAAGGGGAUUGCAAGGCUAUGUGGCAUGGGGUGUGUGGCGAUCACCUUUUUUUUUUUUUUUUUCCUUGCAUUCAGAGCAAGGGAGCAUAUGCAGUUUCCUUUAAUCUUUCCUCUUUCUGUUUUUGAAGUAUCUCAGUAAUAUCAACCACUACCAUAAAGAAGAAUUCAAAACCAUUGCAAAUAAUGUCAUAGGAUGGAUUUGGCAGAAUAGGUGCAAUACAAAGGAAUUGGCUCCCUGGUGUAUAUUACUACUUUUCAAGUGGCUAUUUUGUCCCACAUUCCUUGUUUUCCCAGCAGGAUAGAUUUAUAGCCAAUCUAGAGAGGAAGGGAGGGAACUCCUAGAACAAAACAAAAAUAUUUGUAAUGCCAAAGAACCUUGGGCAGUAUAGCACUCCCCAA